GAUGAAGAACGCAGCGAAAUGCGAUAAGUAAUGUGAAUUGCAGAAUUCCGUGAAUCAUCGAAUCUUUGAACGCACAUUGCGCCCGCUGGUAUUCCGGCGGGCAUGCCUGUUCGAGCGUCAUUUCAACCCUCAAGCUCUCCGGAGUUUGGUGUUGGGGCGCCUGGGGCUUUUCGACCUCAGGGCCCUCAAGUCCAUCGGCGGGACCGCCAGGACACUGAGCGCAGUAGUAUUAUUUCGCUCGGUAGGAUCUUCCACGGCGGGUCGAUCUGGCCGCUAAACCCCCCAAUUCUCACCAAAGGUUGACCUCGGAUCAGGUAGGAAUACCCGCUGAACUUAAGCAUAUCAAUAAGCGGAGGA
This 357-nucleotide unclassified non-coding RNA is filed under the name soil metagenome. RNAcentral describes it as "partial contains 5.8S ribosomal RNA, internal transcribed spacer 2, and large subunit ribosomal RNA". The stretch from base 1 to 120 matches the Rfam family "5.8S ribosomal RNA", at positions 35 to 154 of the family's 154-position model. The record is from RNAcentral.